AUUGAACGCUGGCGGCAUGCGUAACACAUGCAAGUCGAACGGUGUUUGGUGCUUGCACCAGACAUAGUGGCGGACGGGUGAGUAAUGCGUAGGAAUCUGUCUUAGAGAGGGGGACAACCCGAGGAAACUUGGGCUAAAACCGCAUAUUCUCGAGAGAGGAAAGCAGGGGACCGGAAACGGCCUUGUGCUCUAAGGUGAGCCUACAUCGGAUUAGCUAGUUGGUAGGGUAAAAGCCUACCAAGGCGAUGAUCUGUAGCUGGUCUGAGAGGACGGACAGCCACACUGGGACUGAGACACGGCCCAGACUCCUACGGGAGGCAGCAGUGGGGAAUAUUGGACAAUGGGGGGAACCCUGAUCCAGCGAUGCCGCGUGUGUGAAGAAGGCCUGCGGGUUGUAAAGCACUUUCAGUGGGAAAGAGAAGCGUCUUGUGAAUAAUGGGACGUGGAGACGUUACUCACAGAAGAAGCACCGGCUAACUCUGUGCCAGCAGCCGCGGUAA
RNAcentral lists this ribosomal RNA (500 nucleotides) under uncultured bacterium. RNAcentral's name for it is "bacterial SSU rRNA". It matches the Rfam family "Bacterial small subunit ribosomal RNA", at positions 29 to 523 of the family's 1533-position model. The record is from RNAcentral.